Long non-coding RNA from Centrocercus urophasianus (Greater sage-grouse), 3596 nucleotides. RefSeq lists it as uncharacterized. Lineage: Eukaryota; Metazoa; Chordata; Aves; Galliformes; Phasianidae. The transcript is spliced from 3 exons. The record is from RefSeq and is a predicted model, not a curated record.
CUCUACGCCUGGCCGGGCUCCUCUUGGAUCCCGAACCGUCUUGGCUCUCGCUGCCCUGCAGAGCUCGACCCUGCGCCUUGCAGAAGCCAGCACACCUACCUAGAGGUGGUCACAGCCCCGAAAGUCCCCUGGAUGUGUUCUCAUUAUAUCUGGGCAAAAAAGAGUGCGUGCCGUUGCUUCACCAAGGUGGCUCAGUUUCCUGCGGCUGCCACCCGCCCAGUCCCACCUCUACCAAAAAAUACCACACCCUGACUGCAGUGAUGGACUGAACCUUGGGAGCGUGCUUCCCCCAAAGAUGGGGCUCUCACUGUUGGGAGGAUCUCAGGGGAACCUGUUGCAGCCAGACGGCUCUGUUACAUGGGGUGAGCUGGUGGAUGGGCUGUAGGGCCUCUGUAUGGGAUCAGAAGCAUUCCUGCGUGGGUCUGCUGCCUGGCCAGCAUCUGGUGACAUGCCUCAGUGCCUCACAUGGCAGUUGUCUCGUUAUCUUUUAAGCCAAAUUGUGGCAUGCUUGAUAUCUAUGACCAUGGGACUGCAAAGCAACCUGUGAACUGAGAAGUAUGUAAACGCUUGUAUGAGUGCAUUGCAGUGUGUGCACCAUACUGAUGUGUGCACCUGAUUCCAUCUUCCCUGACCAGAGGCUGGAAAAUGCUCGGAAGGUUCCUGCUUUCCUGACAUUUCUUUGUAAAACAGUUCAGUGUCUAGAUUCAGCAAGAUCUGGUUUUAUGCUUAAGUUCUUAAGUUACAGUUAAAACUGAUAGAGUUGUCCAUGAACUACUGGGUGACUGAGGCCGUCUGAGUCUCGGUGUGGUUUUGUUUCAGUGCCUGUCUGCUACUCUCUCAGCUCACUGUAACACCAGCUUGCACUGUACUCCCUAGCAGCAUAAUGCAGCUCCUGCUCUGUCAGUCCUUUGUUGCUUGCAGAAGGAAAAGCCCUCAUCAGCUUUGCACAGCAAGGCAGAUUUGUAGCCAGUGAAUAUUGCGAAGAGUUGCUUUGGAGUUACUCGUAAGUAUAGAAUGUUUGAACCGGGUCCUCUCAUGUCUGAGGCAAUUCAUGUCAUGAGAUUUCUCCUCGGGGCCUGAGUAAGGCUGGGUUCUGUUUGCUUACCUUGGGAGCUGUUACAGCCUGGGAAAAUAGCAGUCAGGUUACAUGGCUUUGUGGGAGUGUUGCCAUGAUACUGACUUUCUUGCUUUUUAAAAAGAAGCAAAGUGUGUGCCAACUUCUCAUUUCUUCAAGCUUUGAUGUUCUUGUAAGGACUACUUCAGUAGUUUGUCUUUCUUCCUCAGCAUGCCGUCUGCUCAGUUGUGUAAUAGAUUUGAGGCCCAGAAGAGAUGAUUAGCUCAUUUAGCAUGGUCUUUGUAUAACACAGGAAUAGAGGAUAGUCUUCUGCAAGGCACCUUCUAGCAGUGAGGCUUUCCAGCAGUUGCUCUGUUGUUCAGCCAUCACCGCUCUGGAGUCCAGCUGCCAGUCUUGGAGCUUUCCAAUCUGCCUUUUGGAAACAAAUUGUGAUAGGUAAAUUCCCAGAUUUUUGCAAGUUCAUUGGAAAUUGUUUGGCAUCACAGACUGUCCUGGAGACAUUACCAACAUUUCUCUUCAAACCUGGCUGGCAGGGCUUUUAUUUCAUGUUUGGAGCCUGGACAGAAGAGGCAGAAAGCUGAGUUCUGUCUGCAUAAUGCUGACUUAACCUUUAUAGCUGGUAAAAAGUGUUGUUCUAAAAAUCAGUCAAAACUCACAAAGAAAUCACACUUCCCAUUCUCAGAGCCCUUGCUGUAGUUAUUGCUGUGUAAGUGCAGCAAGCUGGAUGACUUUUCAGAUGGUUUUCGCCGUGGGCUACUGGUGAGGCAUAACUGUGGAAUCAAGGGUGGCACCAGCGCAUACCCCACACAGUCACAUGUAGCAAGGGCCUGCAGGACUGUGCGGAUGACUCAAGGCUGAUUUAUGUGUUUUUCAUUAUCCUUCCUUAUGGAUGCAGCUGCCAAGUCUGCUCAGCGCUGUUCAGCUGGGAAGCUAAUAAGCUCAGUGCCAUCUAAAUCCAUUGAGAAUCCACACACUGUUGUAAGCAGUUACAAAUGAAAGAGGAUUUUUGUUUUCUGUCUGCCUGAAGUACUUCCAGGUUACAGGGCUUUUCCCCAGCUGCUAAGGCACCAGGAUCUACUGAUUCAACAUUCUUGUGUACUGACUUGACGAAUCUACUUUAACACACUGCACUUGUUUAAUCUUUUCUCUGAAAUUUUCAGCUACUUUGUAUGUGUUUUUCAGUCAGCUUUGAGGCAGUUGUUUUGACUCAGUCACUUUCUAUUAGGUUAUGUGUAUCCCAAACAAGGGACCAUGACGCUCUUAUAUAAACUGGGUUUUAUACAUUUGUCACACUGCCUGGAAUUUGUAGAAUGAACCCAGGUGUCUGCUUCCUGCAUUUUCUGCCUUCUAGGCACUUGCAGGACCCUCAGUGGAGUGCUUGCUCUGUUUCAUUUCCAUUGCUAUGGCUUUCACUGAAAGGCUUCCACCACAGAAAGGCUGUUCAUUCCAGUUAAUGAAUCCUGGUACAGAUCAGAAGUGAAUAUUGAUCACAGUUUCUAUUCAUGCUGUGCUUAAUAUGCAGGUCCCCAUUCAGUCUGUGCAAGCCAUCCCAACAAUAAUCUUCUGUUUUGGGACUAGCAAGGUUAUGUUUCUGUUAUCUGUGGCUGUUUGGGUUGUACAGACCAACCUCGGGGAGCCAGCUCAGCACACUCAAUGUAUGACAGCAAAGUCCUAGAAGAGCCCAUGGCCAGACCCAGGAUUUCUGUCCCACCCCUUCAGUCACUGUUUUGUGGAGUACAGACGGCAAAUGGCAGCUGAGGGGACAGUUAUGGGCAGUGACAGGGAUGUCAAGGUGGCCUAUCUGUGCAGUAGUGCUUGCAUCUGGGUGGUCUGUCAUUAAAAUAUACUAUUUAUAGUCCACAUUGUUAAUAAUUCACAAUCAUUGUUUGUUUUGAGUUGUCUCUUUGGGUAGGAGAAAGUUCAGCGUUAGUUUGUAGAAGGAGGAGAGAAGGUGAAAGAAAAAAUCUGAAUAAAGAGGGCAGGGGGCUGAAGAGGAAAAGGGAUUGCGGCAGAGAGAACGAUUUAACACAUCCUAUUGCAGCCAGGGAGAAAUUGGAAAGCGCAAAAUACAGAAAAAAAUCCAUGGUUUCAUCCAACAGAGAGAGUUUCUUUGCGUUUUGAAAUCUCUACAGUACAUUUCAGAUGAGAUAACAAGGGUGCAGAGAUCCCUAUGAAGAUUGUGGCUGAGUUGCCUCAGGUGGAUGUCAUUCCUUGCUCAUUGCUAUGGGACACUUUGAUACUCAGCAAGGAUGCACACAUGUCACGUCGGUUUGUUUUGGAUACAAAUAUAUAUAACAAAUACAGCAAAAGUAUUUUCUAGAACAUAAUUCAACCUUUAGUUUUAAACAUGUUUUUGGGAUAUGCCGGUGCUGACGGCUGUGAUGCAGUCUGAUGCAAAGGAAUCAAUCGCGCGCUUUGUGGCACGCGGCAGUGAGUGAUGCAGGACCCGUCGGUGAUGGCGGCCCCGUGCCUGGGGGUGAGGCAGCCCGGCUCGGAGCCUCUCCGCCCCCCGCCUCGCUUU